Molecule: long non-coding RNA, 530 nt
Filed under: Mytilus galloprovincialis (Mediterranean mussel)
Lineage: Eukaryota; Metazoa; Mollusca; Bivalvia; Mytilida; Mytilidae
Source: RNAcentral
CACAAAAAACAGGUGUACAUUCAGGAGAUCCCAACAGAGCCUGUACUUCCUGCCUAACUUUUGCCAGUGAUUUUUCCGAUUAUUUAUAAUUAAUGAUAAAAAAAAUUGCAGAACAUGCAAAAGGGACAAUCAGAAAUAAAAAGAAAAACAGACAAUACAUCGUGACUAAAAUUAAAGGCAAGAAAAGACAAAACACUAAACUACACAGAAAAAAUAGACAGAAAACCAGAAACCACACCCAUAUUCGGGGACGAUAUCUGGUGCUCAAGAAUGCCCCGAGAUGUAUGCGACUACGCCACGGUUACAAUUAUAACACAUCCAGGUCAGCUGUUACACGGAUAUUUCAUAAAAGUCAAGGCAUCUAUGAAAUUUUUCCAAAGGCCGACUGUUUAUUUAAUCGCAGUCAUUAUUGUGAUCAUACAGGUGUAAGGGGAACAACUCUAAGAAUUCUAACAUAUCUUAGAAUAGAAAUGUUCAAAGUUGUCACAUAUCCUUAGAACUUGUAUAUUUUCAAUUAAAAAGGUUUUAAC